GACGAACGCUGGCGGCGUGCUUAACACAUGCAAGUCGAACGGAAAGGCCCUGCUUGCAGGGUACUCGAGUGGCGAACGGGUGAGUAACACGUGGGUGAUCUGCCCUGCACUUCGGGAUAAGCCUGGGAAACUGGGUCUAAUACCGGAUAGGAGCCAUUUUUAGUGUGAUGGUUGGAAAGUUUUUUCGGUGAAGGAUGAGCUCGCGGCCUAUCAGCUUGUUGGUGGGGUAAUGGCCUACCAAGGCGGCGACGGGUAGCCGGCCUGAGAGGGUGGACGGCCACAUUGGGACUGAGAUACGGCCCAGACUCCUACGGGAGGCAGCAGUGGGGAAUAUUGCACAAUGGGCGCAAGCCUGAUGCAGCGACGCCGCGUGGGGGAUGACGGCCUUCGGGUUGUAAACGCCUUUCGCUAGGGACGAAGCUUUUUGUGACGGUACCUAGAUAAGAAGCACCGGCUAACUACGUG
This 465-nucleotide ribosomal RNA is filed under the name uncultured bacterium. RNAcentral describes it as "partial 16S ribosomal RNA". It matches the Rfam family "Bacterial small subunit ribosomal RNA", at positions 28 to 507 of the family's 1533-position model. The record is from RNAcentral.